This 337-nucleotide ribosomal RNA is filed under the name Camellia sinensis. Its description in RNAcentral is "bacterial LSU rRNA". It matches the Rfam family "Bacterial large subunit ribosomal RNA", at positions 2006 to 2349 of the family's 2925-position model. The record is from RNAcentral. Lineage: Eukaryota; Viridiplantae; Streptophyta; Magnoliopsida; Ericales; Theaceae.
GAUCUGGGCACUGUCUCGGAGAGAGGCUCGGUGAAAUAGACAUGUCUGUGAAGAUGCGGACUACCUGCACCUGGACAGAAAGACCCUAUGAAGCUUUACUGUUCCCUGGGAUUGGCUUUGGGCCUUUCCUGCGCAGCUUAUGUGGAGGGCGAAGAAAGCCCCCUUCCGGGGGGGCCCGAGCCAUCAGUGAGAUACCACUCUGGAAGAGCUAGAAUUCUAACCUUGUGUCAGACCUACGGGCCAAGGACAGUCUCAGUAGACAGUUUCUAUGGGGCGUAGCCUCCCAAAAGUAACGGAGCGUGCAAAGUUUCCUCGGGCCGGACGAGAUGCCCUCGAC